AAGGGUGUAGCUCAGUGGUGUAGCUCAUAUUUAGCGUGUGUGAGGCCCUGGGUUUGAGCCCCAGCAUCAUCA
Molecule: transfer RNA, 72 nt
Filed under: Marmota monax (woodchuck)
Lineage: Eukaryota; Metazoa; Chordata; Mammalia; Rodentia; Sciuridae
Rfam family: tRNA
About the family: Transfer RNA (tRNA) molecules are approximately 80 nucleotides in length. Their secondary structure includes four short double-helical elements and three loops (D, anti-codon, and T loops).
Source: Rfam by way of RNAcentral